RNAcentral lists this ribosomal RNA (326 nucleotides) under uncultured eukaryote. RNAcentral describes it as "partial 18S ribosomal RNA". It matches the Rfam family "Eukaryotic small subunit ribosomal RNA", at positions 1470 to 1796 of the family's 1831-position model. The record is from RNAcentral.
UCCUUAGAUGUUCUGGGCCGCACGCGCGCUACACUGAUAAUGUCAACAAGCUUUACCUUGGCCGAUAGGUCUGGGCAAUCUUCGAACUAUUAUCGUGAUGGGGCUAGAUUAUUGCAACUAUUAAUCUUAAACGAGGAAUUCCUAGUAAGCGCGAGUCAUCAGCUCGCGUUGAUUACGUCCCUGCCCUUUGUACACACCGCCCGUCGCUCCUACCGAUUGGAUUGGCUGGUGAAGCGUUCGGAUUGUGGGUUCGGAGCGGUUCGCCGUUCUGGGCUUGCGAGAAGUUCGUUAAACCCUCCUAUCUAGAGGAAGGAGAAGUCGUAACA